This 254-nucleotide ribosomal RNA is filed under the name uncultured bacterium. RNAcentral describes it as "partial 16S ribosomal RNA". It matches the Rfam family "Bacterial small subunit ribosomal RNA", at positions 524 to 776 of the family's 1533-position model. The record is from RNAcentral.
UACAGAGGUCUCAAGUGUUGUUCGGAAUAAUUGGGCGUAAAGGGUGCGCAGGCUGCCGUUAAAGUCGAUCAUUAAAGAGCUGGGCUCAACCCAGUUAAUGAGGUCGAGACUGCACGGCUAGGGAUCUGGAGAGGGUAGCCGGAAUUCACGGUGUAGCAGUGAAAUGCGUAGAUAUCGUGAGGAAGACCAAAGGCGAAGGCAGGUAUCUGGACAGAAUCCGACGCUCAUGCACGAAGGCUAAGGGAGCAAACGGG